RNAcentral lists this ribosomal RNA (253 nucleotides) under uncultured bacterium. RNAcentral describes it as "partial 16S ribosomal RNA". It matches the Rfam family "Bacterial small subunit ribosomal RNA", at positions 524 to 776 of the family's 1533-position model. The record is from RNAcentral.
UACAGAGGUCUCAAGCGUUGUUCGGAUUCAUUGGGCGUAAAGGGUGCGUAGGUGGCGGGGUAAGUCAGGUGUGAAAUCUCGGAGCUCAACUCCGAAACUGCACUUGAUACUGCCUUGCUCGAGUACUGGAGAGGAGAUUGGAAUUUACGGUGUAGCAGUGAAAUGCGUAGAUAUCGGAAGGAACGCCGGUGGCGAAAGCGAUCGACUGGAUCUCUUCUGACGCUGAGGCGCGAAAGCCAGGGGAGCAAACGGG